CUCGGAAUCCUCAAUGGCAUGGCGCACUCGUCGCCGUUGAAGAAGACCUUGGACGGGAAGCCGUCCCCGGCGAUGAUGUCGAUGCCGGGGGUCUUCUUCUUGGUGAAGGAGAAGACGGACUGCUGCUUCCCGGGCACCGGGUAAUCUACGCCGCUCAUGUUCCUCUCCCCGAGCAGGAAGUUGAGGCCCUGGGCGCCCCUGACGAAGAUGGUGCUGUUCCCGACGCCCGUGGCGUUGAAGGAGUAGGCCUGUUCGAAGCCGUCGUACGCCUUGUCCAUGACGAUGGCCGUGAACCAGUCCGGCAUGUCCGUGCCGUCCCAGUUGAAGAGCGUGAGGCGCGCGCUCCAUCCUCCGGUGAAGUCGGUG
This 366-nucleotide unclassified non-coding RNA is filed under the name Zea mays. RNAcentral describes it as "misc RNA Zm00001eb111880". The record is from RNAcentral. Lineage: Eukaryota; Viridiplantae; Streptophyta; Magnoliopsida; Poales; Poaceae.